Molecule: ribosomal RNA, 219 nt
Filed under: uncultured bacterium
Lineage: Bacteria
Description: partial 16S ribosomal RNA
Rfam family: Bacterial small subunit ribosomal RNA
Source: RNAcentral
UAAUGUAUGGGGAUCUGCCCGAUAGAGGGGAAUAACUACUGGAAACGGUGGCUAAUACCGCAUAAUGUCUACGGACCAAAGCAGGGGCUCUUCGGACCUUGCACUAUCGGAUGACCCAUAUGGGAUUAGCUAGUAGGUGGGGUAAAGGCUCACCUAGGCGACGAUCUCUAGCUGGUCUGAGAGGAUGAUCAGCCACACUGGGACUGAGACACGGCCCAG